UGCUAUUGUUUGUGGCUUAGGAACGCCUU
RNAcentral lists this non-coding RNA (29 nucleotides) under Homo sapiens (human). Lineage: Eukaryota; Metazoa; Chordata; Mammalia; Primates; Hominidae. The record is from RNAcentral.